GGCUCUGUGGCGCAAUGGACAGCGCGUUGGACUUCUAAUUCAAAGGUUGUGGGUUCGAGUCCCACCAGAGUCG
Molecule: non-coding RNA, 73 nt
Organism: Mugil cephalus (flathead mullet)
Lineage: Eukaryota; Metazoa; Chordata; Actinopteri; Mugiliformes; Mugilidae
Source: the annotation of a RefSeq genome assembly